UGAGUAGGCGGCUGUUUAAGUCACAUGUGAAAUUCCGGGGCUCAACCCCGGAACUGCAUGAGAAACUGGAUGGCUUGAGUGCAGGAGAGGUAAGCGGAAUUCCUAGUGUAGCGGUGAAAUGCGUAGAUAUUAGGAAGAACACCAGUGGCGAAGGCGGCUUACUGGACUGUAACUGACGCUGAGACACGAAAGCGUGGGGAGCGAACAGGAUUAGAUACCCUGGUAGUCCACGCUGUAAACGAUGAAUGCUAGGUGUCGGGUAGAGAUAUUCGGUGCCGGAGUUAACACAAUAAGCAUUCCGCCUGGGGAGUACGUACGCAAGUAUGAA
RNAcentral lists this ribosomal RNA (328 nucleotides) under uncultured bacterium. Its description in RNAcentral is "bacterial SSU rRNA". It matches the Rfam family "Bacterial small subunit ribosomal RNA", at positions 568 to 898 of the family's 1533-position model. The record is from RNAcentral.